Molecule: unclassified non-coding RNA, 630 nt
Filed under: Hevea brasiliensis (rubber tree)
Lineage: Eukaryota; Viridiplantae; Streptophyta; Magnoliopsida; Malpighiales; Euphorbiaceae
Source: RNAcentral
AAAAUGAUCAAGAACGACAAGGAACAAGACGUGACACAAGAACAAGCAAUGUGACAGUGGGGUCAAAAUAAGAUAUAGACACCAAAUGAAGAGUUAGUAAACUGGAAUGAAGACAACCUAAUGAAAUGAUAUCAAGCUCAAAUAUCAAAUUUCAUAAUCAAUGUAGCACAGAUACCAGCAGUUUACAUAAUUUACCAAAAAUAUGCUCCAAUUUUGGUUCACCACACAAACGACUAUAUUUUGAUAUGAAAUUUGGUACACACUAGAAACCCAAUACGGACUAACUGCUGGUAAAAUUUCAGGAGCUUCUGAGGGGGUUUACUAUGUAAACUAAAUUUGAUCAAGUCUGCCGCAAAAUCUUGAUUCAGUAAGAGAACAGUGUCAAAUGACCUCCAAAAUUGACAUGGGAACUACUAAAAUGGGGUAUAAAUAGCCUAUAAAUUUUCAGAGUUUUCUGGAUUGGUUUCUUAUGUGAACUAAAUUUGAUCAGGUCUGCCGCAAAAUUUUGGUUUGCUAGGCAAAUAAUAUCAAACAACUCCAAAAAUUGACACAGAAACUUGUGAAAUGAGGUAUAAAAAGCUUGUAAAUUUUCAGAAUUUUCUGGGCUGGUUUGGUAUGUGAACUAAAAAU